GAUUUCUGGCCUGGUGCGCCUGGCCCGCCAGCGUUAGCUGUGUGAGUGUCGGGUCGCGCCUGCCAUCCUUCUGUUGGCCCGAUCUACUCUUCAUUGAGCCGGAUCGUGUGAACAGAUCGUUUACUUUGAAAAAAUUAGAGUGUUUAAAGCAGGCUGACCGCUAUGAAUACAUUAGCAUGGAAUAAUAAUUUAGGACUUCGGUUCUAUUUUGUUGGUUUCUAGGACUGAAGUAAUGAUUGAUAGGGAUAGUUGGGGGUGCUAGUAUUCAGCGGCCAGAGGUGAAAUUCUCGGAUUCGCUGAAGACUAACUUAUGCGAAAGCAUU
This 323-nucleotide ribosomal RNA is filed under the name Allapsidae sp. Its description in RNAcentral is "SSU rRNA". The stretch from base 108 to 323 matches the Rfam family "Eukaryotic small subunit ribosomal RNA", at positions 739 to 955 of the family's 1831-position model. Lineage: Eukaryota; Cercozoa; Glissomonadida; Viridiraptoridae. The record is from RNAcentral.